This is a long non-coding RNA of Cebus imitator (Panamanian white-faced capuchin), 14975 nucleotides long. RefSeq lists it as uncharacterized. NCBI's taxonomy places the organism in Eukaryota, Metazoa, Chordata, Mammalia, Primates, Cebidae. The transcript is spliced from 2 exons. The record is from RefSeq and is a predicted model, not a curated record.
ACCCGACAACACCUGCGAAGAAAAGGCGUGUUCUUUCUCAUGGCGUCCACCUCCCACUUGUCACCUUGAGCGCUGUCCUCAAUCCCAAGAAGCACUGCUAAGGAGAAGCGGGGAUAAACUGGUGUCCCUGCGUGGGGGGAAGCUCAUGGGAGACCGUGCACUGCCCGGGUCGUCUCCCCAGGCAGGGUCGGGGAGGGACUUUUUUUCCGGCGUCCGUGGAGGAAUCGUACCGUUGAGCAGUGACCCCGGUUAUGCGGCGGAGGGCUAUAAAAGCAAAAGUUGUGGCCGGUCCAGCAGGAGUUAGCGACAGGGAGUGAUGCGCGCAUGGGUGCAGUUGCGGGGGAGGAAGUGGGCAGUUCAGGGCCUCAGGAGAGUUGGGGAGAGAUGACUGAGUUAGAUGAGACUCGGGGUUUGGGGGUGCAAGGAGAAGGAAGGUUGGCAAAGAGACGGAGACUAGGUCUGGGGGGACCACAGUGCGGCAGGCUGCAUCGAAAAUACGCGCAGGAGCCCACAGGGAGGGCCAGGCUCCAGGCCAGGCUUCCCCUACUGCCUGCUGGAGGGGGAACUUGACGUCUGAGAAGGCGCCGCUCUUGCAUGGCUGAGCAAGCCUCAGUGCCCUCGUCUGUGGAGGGAGGAAGGCAGGGCGAGAGGCCAGGAGGAAUGGGCCGCUGCGGCCCUGGAAAUGAUCAGGAAGGCGGGCAGUGGUUGCAGGGCUGCAGGAGGGUCGGGAGGGCCGAGCUUCAACUUGUCCAUGCCAGCAGCCCUUUUUUUUUCAGACCAAGGGCUGUGAACCCGCCUGGGGAUGAGGCCUGGUCUUGUGGAACUGAACUUAGCUCGCCGGGGCUGACCACUCUGGCCCAGGGUGGUAUGUAAUUUUGGCUCAGCCUGGGACGGGCCCAGGCUGGGCCCAGACUGGUGGAGCGUCCAGGUCUGGAUGCGAAGCCAGGCCCCUGGGCGGAGGUGAGGGGUGGUCUGAGGACUGAUGCGGGGCCAAGGCGCCAUCCUCACCGGCACCUGGCAUGUUUGACAGGCGGGGACUGCGAGGCACGCUGCUCGGGUGUUGGGGGCAACAUUGACCAACGCUUUAUUUUCCAGGUGGCAGUGCUCCUUUUGGACUUCUCUGUAGGUUUGGCGCUAAACUCUUCUGUGAGCUCACUCCACCCCUCCUUCUCCUCCCUUUAACUUAUCCAUUCACUUAAAACAUUGCCUGGUCGUCUGGUAAGCCUGGGAUAGUAGCCGAGUGGCUGUUGGAGUCGGUAUUGUUGGUGGAGAAAGAAAGGCCUUCCCGCUGAGGUGGGGUGGGGCGGAUCGAUGUUGCUUGCCUGCAGAGAGGGUGGGGAGUGAAUGUGCCCCUUUGGGUGGGCCCGCAGCGAUCCAUCUGAAAGUUACAAAAAUGCCUCAUGGACCGCGGUUUGUUACUGUAGUGUUCCUCAUGGCGAGCAGAUGGAACCGGGAGACAUGGAGCCCCUGGCCAUUGUGAGUCCUAGCAGUGCAGGAGGGGAGACCCUGGAGGAAAGAGCCCGCCUCAGUUGAUGCCUGCAGAUUGAAUUUCCAGAGGCUUAGGAGGAGGAAGUUCUCCAAUGUCAUGUUUCCAGGCCUUUCUCAGGAAGCCCUGUAUUCGGGAGGCUACCAUUUAAGGUUUUCAGAUAAGCUUGUGGGGGACAAUCUUAGAAGUCCACAGCAGAUGCAUCCGGCUUGAGGUGCCAUCAGCUUUGAAUAAAUGCUUGUUCCGGAGCCAUGAAUGCCAGCAGGCACCCCUCCUUCCCUGGGGUAAAGGUUUUCAGAUGCUGCAUCUUCUAAAUUGAGCCUCCAGUCAUACUUGUUCUGUGCUUGGAACCUUGCUUCAAGAAGAUUCCUAAGCUGUAGAACAUUUUAACGUUGAUGCCACUACGCAGAUUGAUGCCUUAUAGAUGGAGUUUGCAGAAGGAGCCCCAUGACCUCUCGCCUACCCACCUGUUUGCCUGCCUGCCUGUGCAUUGCUCGGAGAAGUUCUGAGCCUGAUGAAAUAACUUGGGGUGUUGGAAAGCUGUUUAAUUUUAAAUGCCUUAGAUGGGGGAUGUAUUAGAGGAAGCAGAUUGUCAAAUGAAGGGUGUCAUCGUGUGGUGCUAAACUCUGGGAGGGUACACGUUGGUCAUUCUGAAAUCUGUGUGGGAAAUGGCAGGUCUAGUUUGGGCAUUGUGAUUUCAUUGCAGGUUACUAAGAGAAGGGAAUGGUGGGUAUGCCGGUAGUGCCCUUUCGAUCUUGUUUCGUUUUUUUUAAACUUGAAUUUUGUUAGAUUUCAUAAUACUUUUUUGGCAUUCUAAUAAGAGGACCCUGAGGUGGGAGUUGUGGGGGAUGGGCAGAGGAGAACAGCUUGGCACUGGUCACGUGGGAGUUGCAGUGUGGGGGAAUGCAGCUUGGCAUUGGUACUGGGAGGGAUGAGGUGAAGAAGGGGAGAGGGUUGGUUAGGUAUCUAGUGUGGGUGUUGGGAGUGGUAGGAAAUGCAGGUUUAAGGGAACUCUGGGGCUCUGGUGAAUUUAGUGCAAUGGGUGAGCCAAGAAAACACUAAUAAUAGUAAGUUGUUAAUGUUGGUUAAAUUGUUGCUUGGAAAUGAAAAGUUGCUUAGAAACUUUCCAAAGUGCUUAGAACUUUAAGUGCAAAAAAACCAAAACAAAAUUGUUUUGCUUUGCUGCAAGGUGGGCAAGACUGAAAAAGUGUAACUGAAAAAGAUGAUGACACAGAGUCACCAGUUUUCCGAGAACCACAGGGAGGGGUGUGUGAUGCCAUCUCACAGGCAGCGUAAACGUCUUUACCAACUUCUUCCUGGUGGCCAAGGCAGCCUGUUUUAGAGGGUGGUUUUGUUUGGGGUGUGGGUAUUUUCAAGUGAAUCAGUCACUUGUCAGACUUGCAUACGCAGCAUCCCUCGCUGCCUUUUGCCAGCUUCAUAGGUGAUCUAUCUGAAGCUGUGAAGAUGGGAUUUUUCACAGGAGCUGGAAGUCUUAGAAAUUGUAAAUGCCUACAUUGUGGGCUUUUAACGUAUUUAAGGGACGACUUAAGACGAGUUGAGAUAGGCUCCUCUGAAUUUGUAACUCAUUUGUCACAGAUAGCUUGUGAUUGAAAAUUAUGAGCACAGUGAAAGUACAGUGAAUUUCAAGGGAUUUGUUAUGUAAAUUCUGCCGUAGAAACACAUAAUUGUCUUUUCUGUGUUUGGUAAAUAUUAAUCAUGGCAAAAUUUUUGUUUACCUAGUAUCUUCGAAUCUAGUCUUUGUAACGAACCAAAUACCCUUUUGUGAUCACUGUAAAAUUACUAUAAUAUUUGGUAGCAGACAGAAUCCAUGUACCUUUGCUAAGGUUAAAAUGAAUAAUUUAUUGUAUUUUUAGUUUGAAUGUUUGUGCUUUUCCGUGAUCCAAGACUAGAGGGGAAACUAAACUGUCACCUAACGGUUUGGAAAACGAGCUAAAAGGGGAAGGGGAUGAGGAUUGUGGGGAGGGCGUGGGUGAAGUGCCUUUACUACAUGUGUGAUCUGAAAACUACUUGUUUCUGAGCUGCAUCCAAAUUGAUAAAGUAAUACCAAUGGCUUGUUACCAUGUCCCUCUUCCCUUUAAAUUUCACUUAAAUUUUUUAAAAUCAUGGAUAUUUGUAUCCUUGGGAUCUGUCUUCUGGGUUCCGUUUUUUUGGUGUUUAAAAAUAUGUUGACACGGUAGUUCAGUUCUUAACCAGUGGCUUGGACAUGAUACAAUUACUGUCGUUGGAAUUUAGAGUGUUAUUAGUCAUGCACGUAUGGGGAAAUAUUUUCGGGCAUGCUGUUGCGAAAUUGAAACCGUAGAAGUGGGUGGUUAAAAGUACGGGUAUGUUGCUCUGUAUGGUAAGAACUAAUCCUGUUGCAUCAUGUACGUAAUUCCUAAUCACUUUCCUUCCCCUUUACAGCACAAAUAAAGGUUCAAGUUCUAAACUCAUUAUAAUUGUUGUAUUGCUAUGUUAUAUUUCUCGACCCCUAUCACAUUGCCUUCAUAAUGAAGUUGGAUUUAUUUUCAUGUUGUAGAUUUAGGUCUAGAUUUGCUAGCUUCAAGUAAGUAAGGCCGUAUAGGAGAGCAUGAUAACCAAAAUAGAACUGGUAUUAUCCCAAGUGGUCUGCAGACUGCUGGGUGGGUGGGGAGGGAUCUGCUCUAUGUUGGGACUUGGUAAUCAUUUGUUUGAAAUGUGAUGAACCACUCAAACCAAUGAAGGCGAGUGUGUAGGUGGGGAGUGCUUUGCCAUAAUAUUUUAAAACAUUACUUGGUUAGAAUUCUAAGUGGUACUUAUUUUUAUUUGGUUAGGGAAAAGUCUGAAUAAAAUAGAAUGGCUAUAUAAUACGUGUAUUACAUAGUUUGAGUCUUUGGAAGGCUGGAAUGUAUCUGGGAUUUGGGUCUAAGUAUAUGCAUAAUUCUUAUCUCACUAAAGAAUGCGACUUGUUUUUUCCUUUUGGUGAGUGACUGAGAGGAAUCUGCUCUCUGUUGGGACUUGGUAAUCGUUUGUUUGAAAUGUGCUGAGAAGGAAGGUGCUUGAUUCAAAGGGAGCCUCAAGGGAGGCUUGUCCUACUCAACCUGGGCCUGUUGGCCUAAGAAGAGGAGGUAAGGGCUGAACUGGGACUAGCCAGGGGACCAGCACAAAUGGUGGGAGAUCAUGAUCUGAAGGAUUCUUUUCUUACCAUGAGCUGCGGGACUGGUUGCCGUCUUUACAGCUGUGUCUUAUUUGCCUGUGCUGUUGUAUCUUGGUAACCCCUCCACAUGUACACUACUGACAAACGGGCUGGGUAGUGGGAAGAGGAAGUCACUGAGCUGCCCACCCAGCAAACCUAUCUGUGCUCUUGGCACCGCCAAGAUAGGGCUCUGCUGUGUACAGGCUCCAGGGCCCUCUUCCUGCUUGCCACUUCUUUCCCUGGAUGCUCCAGAAAUAAUCCAGGCCCCCUUUCCUGUCUUACCCCUUUGCUUUGCUUUUUACCCCAGCACCUCUAUAACCACCUUUUCUUCUUUUCAGAGCCCUUGUUUCUUCUCGUUUUUUAUGAUUAUUACAAAACUCUUGCUUCCACCCUGGAAAGUAACUGCUAUAGAUGCCUCUGUGUAAAUGGUGCUAUCUCCAGCAACUGUGGCAUGCUGAAGAAGAAUUGACUCAUGGGGUAUAAAUGUUGGGGAUUGGAAGUGGGUAUGAAGUGGCACUUGAUACAGGAGCAAAGAGGUGAGGCCAACUGCUGAAGGCUCAGCUCGCCACCCUCCUUGCCUCCACCCCAAUCCAAGGGCUGGGCCACAGUCUUUGCCUUCAGUUAUCCUCAAAUCAGUUGAGAUGGACAGGAGGUGUUGAUGGCAGUGCCAGCAACUAUCACUCAUCAGUUUGCAUCCUCAUGCAUGGAUCUGAAUUCAGACUUUCUGUGAAUUUCCAGAGGUGUGGGUAAUAUCAUGGAAUUCAGUGAGUGGGCAUGGCUGAGCUUUGCAAAAUAAAAGUUAUGGGGUAUAAGAAAAGCAAAAGUUGAACUUGAACUUCUUUUAAAAAGGAAAGUACCCUGAGAGCCAGUAUUGGUUGAGGUUCCUCAGUAUGCCAGGGUUGGUGACACAGAACUGCAGGAACAGCCUGUGUUACAAAAAGGAGAUUGAUUCAGCUGCCCUUGGUGCAUCUUAUUGCCUGUGAGUGUUAAGGGAUUCCAAGGACCCUUAAUGCCAGGCUAACCUCUCUGUGCAGUGAAGUCUCUGGAGGAAGUGUUAUCCUCUGGCUUUGUGUGCAAAGGUACUCAUGGUGCAGUGCUGGUAUGAAAUGAAGACAUGCCCAAAUAGGCUUACAGAUAUUUAUGAUAUGUUUUCAAUGUUCCUGUCUAACAAACAAAAAUAUACUGAUACUACUUGGAAAUGGUAACAGGAAGAUGGCAAAAGAAGAACUAAACUUACGAAAAGAUGAGCAGGUACGUGUUCCAAGGCAGGUGGCCGUGAUCUUCCUCUGAGUGAGGGCAUCCCCUCCAGCCCCUGCCAGCCUGCUGGUUAGGACAGCCUGCCACCACCCUCCUGGACCCACAGCCAUGCACUGCCUUUCCUAUCUUUUAAAUAAUUCUUCAUUGAGUUCUAAUAUGUAAAAGAAAAGUUUAAAGUUUACAAAUAAGGAAUUUUUUUUUCAAAAUCCUCAAUAAUCUUACCAUUAACAAUUGUUAUGGGCAUGUUUGCUUUUGGAGGAUUUCUUUUAUAUGCAUGGGAUAAGUGCUUUUUUAUACAAAAAUGAGAUGAUGCCAUAAAUUCUGUUUUGUGACUAAUUAAUAUAUAGUGAACACCUUUUUAAAUGAUAACAAUGUUCCCUCGAUUGGCUAUAUCAGUGUAAACACUCUUAUUUCAAUGGACAUGUAGGGUAUUUUCUAGGUUUUUUUUCUCUUAGAAAAUAAUACUUGCAAUGACUUUCCUUAUAGCUCAGACUUUAUCACGUCUCUUUGGGAAUGCAUGAAUACAUUUCGAGAAGGAAAUGACUCUGUGAAACUCGGGCUAAACUGCCCACCAGGGAGGGAUUGCUCAAUUAGUGUUCUGACUAGUGAGGCAAACCUGACGCCUUCCCCUCUUCCUCAGAACCUGUUUUGUCACAUUAAAAACCUUUGCUCCUCCAAUGGAUCCAGUCUGCUUCCCCUGUGGGUGUGAGCAUUGCUUUGUCUGCUGGGGAUUGAACAUCUCUACUGUAUGUUGAUUGGCCAUUUGUAGGGGCCGUGUGUGCAUGACUUUGUACUUCCUAAUUAGGCAUUUUUCUUUUUUUUGUUUUUUGUUUUGUUUUGUUUUUUAAGAUGGAGUUUCACCAUGUUGAUAAGGCUGGUCUUGAACUCCUGACCUCAGGUGAUCCUCCCGCCUUGGCCUCCAAAGGGCUUGGAUUACAGGCGUGAGCCACCACGCCCGGCUGCGUAAUUAGGUAUUUUUCUAAUGGUUGUUUUGUAAUUAAGGAUAUUAAUAACCUUUUGUCAUAGUUGAUGCAAUAUUUCUUUUCCAGUUUAUAGAUUGCCUUUUAAUUUUGUUUCAGAUAGAUAGAAGUUACAUGAUUUUCCAAAGUUAAUUACUGUGGUUUCUGAACUUGUUAUAUGUAGAUCUUUUCUACCCCAAGAGUACAUAAAUAUUAAUACAUACUUUCUUGUGAAACUUGGCAUGGUUUCAUUUUUUUACAUUUAAACCUUAUUCCACCUGGAGUGUGUUGUGGAGUCUGUGUGUGUGUGAGGAGGGGCAUGGUGCUCUCAGAGCCCACCUCCUAAGGCCAGAGAACCCUGUCCUGGGAGGGUUGCUGUCACAGUGAGAGGGUUCACUGCAGAAGACCUUGGGGCCAGGCUGGUGUUUCCCGAAUGGGCCCCUGGUUGUUGCUGGUCCCUGACUCUCGGUUUCCCCAUCUGAGUAGGUUUGUACCUACUAGGUCACUGGAGCUGGUUCUAAUUCUCUUGGCAACUUUAUGACUGGGAGCAAGUUACUUAACCUGCCGGAGACUGUCUGUGAAGUGUGGGUAAAUGAAUAUAGAUGUUUGGCAGCAGCUACUCCUUGUUGAGCUCUUACAGUGAACUCUCCUGCCUCUGCCCUCCUUCUCCACCUCCUCUGGGGCCCAGGUCUAACCACUUUCUCCUGGGACCCUCUCCCUGUUCUGUGGCUGGCUGGCUGCCCGCCUGGCACUGGACCUUUCAUGCAAUGGGAAUCAGAGUGUAUAUCCUGGUCUGGUCUGUUUCUACACUUAAUUUUGUUUCCACUAAAUUUCCCUGUACCGGCAUAGUUCACAAACACAUUUGAAGAGGCUUUUUCUCAGGAUUCUUAACCUUCCCAAAGGAAUUCCCAUGGAUGGGUUCCUAGAAGUCUAUGAAUGCUCUGAAAUUGUGUGUAUUUUUCUGUGGAAAGCAUAACUUUCAUCUGCUUGUCCAUGACCUCAAAAAAGAUCAUGAAUGGAAUGAUUGCAUGAUUUUAUGCUAAUGUGCUUAUACUACAGGAUAUUUAUCCCAUCUCUUUAGUUGUUAAACUGUUUUGACUAUUUAAAUUGUGCAGCUGUGAGCAUCUCUGUAACUUUAGUGUACAUGUGUAUCUCCUGGAGUGGCACUGCCUGGGCAGUGAGGACUUAGGUUUUAUAACUGUCUUCACAGACUCAUGACUCCAGAAAGCUACACUUCCUGUUGUGAGUAUAUUACAUCCAUUUCCCUACAAAGCUACUAACAUCAGAUUUUACAAUUUUAUUUAUUUGUUGCUACUUGUAAAAUUUUUUGUGGUGAAAUACAUAUAAUGGAAGUUUACUAUCUUAAUCAUUUUUAAGUAUGCAUGCAGUAGUGGUAAGUAUGUUUCCACUGUUGUACAGCCAAUCCAGAACAUUUUCAUCUUGCGAAACUGAAACUCUGUACCCAUUAAAUAAUAUUAAACACUGCAUUUCCUCCAACAAAACCGAAACUGUACCUAUUAAAUAAUAUUAAACAAUCCAUUCCCUCCAGCCCCCGCAACCACCAUUCUUUCUACUUUCUGUGAGUUUGACUACUCUAUGCACUUCAUAUCGGAGAAAUCAUGAAGUAUUUGUCUGUUUGUGACUGGCUUAUUACAUUUAGCACAGUGUCCUCCAGAUGCGUCUAUGUUGUAGCACGUGUCAGAACUUCCUUCCUUUUUAAAAGAGCUGAAUAAUAUUCUAUUUUAUAUCUUAUUUUGUUUAUCCAUUCACCCAUUAGUAGACGGGUUGCUUUCAGCUUUUGUGAACAAUAGUGUUACGUACAAAUAUCUUUAUUAUUGUAUUUACAAGUUUGAUGCUGUAAUGUACACACAUCUUUUUGAGAUCCUAUCUUCAGUUCUUUUGGGUAUGUAGCCAGAAGUGGUAUUUCUAUUUUUAAUUUUUUUGAGGAACCACUCUAUGUUUUCCAUAGCAACUGCCCUAUUUUACACUCUCACCAGUAGUGCACAGGGGUUCCAAGUUUCCCACAUCCUCUGCAGUGGUUGUUAUUUUCAGCUUUUUUAUAUCGAAGCCACCCUGUGGGUGUGAGGUGAUAUUUCAUUGUCGUUUUGAUUUGCAUUUUCCUAAUGAUUAGUGAUACUAAUGAUUAGUGAUACUAAGCGUCUUUUCAUAUACUUAUUGGUCAUUUGUAUGUCUUCUUUAGAAAAAUGUCUAUUCCAGUCCUUUGACUAUUUUAGAAAUUGGGUUAUUAAGGUUAUUGUUGUUGACUUGUAGGAGUUUCUAUAUUCCGGAUAUUAACCCCCUAUCAGAUAUAUGAUUUGCAGAUAUGUUCUCUUAUUCCAUAAGGUUGCUUUUUCACUUUGUUGAUUGUGUUCUUUGAUGUACAGAAGUUUUAAAAUUUGAAAUAGUCUAAUUUCUGUCUUUUAAAUUCUGUUGUCUGUACUUUUGGUGUCAUAUCCAAGAAAUCCUUGCCAAAUCCAACGUUAUAAGGUAUUUUAGUUGUUUUAGUCUGUAUAUUUCUGUACUCAUCUCUUUAUCCACUCAUCCGUUAAUGGGCACAUAGGUUGGUUCCAUAUCUUUGCAAUUCUAAAUUAUCCAUGAUCAGGUGUCUUUUUGGUAUGACUUAUUCCCCUUUGAGUAGAUACCCAGUAGUGGCAUUGCUGGAUUGAAUGGUUUUUAUACUUUUCUGUUUUACCACAGUUUUCAUCUGCAUUUUUCCUCUUUGACCACUGAGCAUGUGAAAUUCUCAUACUGACCUUUAUAUGAUCAUGAACUCUUAGUAUCAUUGGGAAAGCCACAUUCGCCGCUUAUGAUUGUCAACCCUAUCCUCCAUUUUUCCUGUUAUUAUUGAUGCAAAAAGCAUCUAUUUUACCAGGACUUCAAAAAUCAGUCUGAUAAGCCUUUGAUAAGCCUAAUAAUAAUAACUGAUAAGUCCGUUGAAUUUGCUGCGUAUUACUUUUUCUUUAGUAGCUAAACAUGUAUGUACUCCUCUGGUUACAAUGAACACUCCUCUACAUUUAAAUUAAUGAUUUACACUGAAGUUGAAAUAGCAAAGUUUUAAUUACUAAAUACUGUCUUUGUUUUUUUGCUCCAGGUCUGUCACUAUUAACUUCUUAUAAUUAAUUUUCUUUUUUUCUGUGUGUGUGUGUGUGUGUGUGUGUGUGUGUGUGUGUGUAUGAAUUUCAAUAGCUUUUGAGGUACAAGUGGCUUUUGGUCAUAUAGACGAAUUCUAUAGUAGUGAAGUCUGAGAUUUUACUGCACCGGUCACCUGAGUAGUGUACAUUGUACCCAAUAUGUGGGUGUUUAUCCCUCGCCCCCCCUUAUCUGCCUUACUUUGAGUCUCUAGUGCCCAUUAUGUCACUCUGUAUACCUUUUUGUACCCAUAAGUUAGCUCUCAUUUAUAAGAGAGAACAUGCAGUAUUUGGUUUCCCAUUCCUGAGUUACUUCACUUACAAUAAUAGCCCCCAGCUCCAUCCAAACUAUUGCAAAAAAAAAAAAACCAUUAUUUUGUUCUUUUUUAUAGCUAAGUCAUAUUCCAUGGUGUAGAUAUACCACAUUUUAUUUAUCUACUCACUGGUUGAUGGGUUGGUUCCUUAUCUUUGCAGUUGUGAAUUGUGCUGCCAUCAAGUGUCUUUUUGGUAUAAUGACUUCUUUUCCGUUGGGUUGAUACUCAGAAAUGGGGUUGCUAGAUCAAAUGGUUCUUAUAAUUUUCUGUCUGGAUCUAUUUCUGGAAAUUGUAGGCUCUAGUUUUCAUUGUUAUUGUUAAUAAAAUGCAGUGGAAUUUAAUGAUCGUCACUUUUCAUUAUGUUUUAAAAUCUAGUAAAUGAAAGCUAAAAUACUCCUCUAAGGCAAGAAUAUUCUCUCUCUUUAUUAGAACUCAAAUACACAGAACUGGGUAAAUCUUUUGGUUCAGAAUAUAACAUGGCUCUCUUUAAUUUUCUUUCCUUGAUUGUUUUUUAAUAAUGUGGUAAGCAUUUCCAAAUCUCCUAUCUAAUAUAAAAACUAGGACAAUACAGACAGUAACCCCUUCCGCUUAUGUGGUCCCACCCCACCCGACUUCCCCUGCCAUCCCUGCCACCCCCCAGGCCAUGGUAAUAAUCAUCCUGAAUCCUGGGUUUAUCUCCCACCUACUUUCUUUUCAUAUAACUUUGUAAAAGAAUCUGAUCUAAAUAUGUUUUUCAAAUUAUAUAUUUAUAUUUUAGUUGUUCUUAGCUUAUAGAAAAGUUAUUUUGGAUGUAAUCUUAUGUUAUUUAAGAUUAUGUUAAUCUUAUUAAAUGAGAUGUAAACAUUCUCAUUUAAUAUGGUAAGAUUUAUCCCUUGCCCAUGGGGUAUUUCAUUUAGUUUAUUUACUGGAUAGAGCCCAUCAUGUAACUGUACCUCAGUUAGUUCAUCAAUUUUCCCAUCCAUGGUGACAGGGUUGCUUCUCUUACUUCCGUCAGUGUCGUUGAAGAAGUGAUAUGUGGGUGUUUUCUCAUUACACAGAGUUGAAAGGUGACUGACAAGGUUGGCACUACCAAUCCCCCAUACUCCAGAGGUAACCAGUGUUACCAGUUUGCUGGGUUUCCUGCUAGACUUACAUUUGUAUCUUAAAAAGAUGUUGCAUUGUGUUUCUUUUCCAUAGAAGUGGGAAAAUACUAUUGUAUACUGUACUAUUGAUUACUUUUUUCAUUUAACAGUAGGGAGAUGCCUGGGAGUGCACACAGAACUUUCCUCACUGUUUUCAACUGCUGUGCAGUAUGUCUGUGAGUUAUUUAGCCAUUCUGCCAUUAAUGGAAAUUUACAGUAUUUCUCAUCUUUUGAUAUUACAAACAAUACUGUGUGAUCAUCGUCAUACACAGCCCCUUGUGCACAAUGCAUGAGUGUUUCUCAGGGUAGGUACCAAGAAGCGAAAUUGCUGGGUCAUAGGAUGUGGGUCUGACGUUUUCCUCUGUUCUGCCCUGUUGCCCUCCAGAGUAUUUGUCCAGCUUUGCACAGCUGAGUAUGAGAGUAUCUGUUGUUCAUAUCCUCUACGACGCUCUAUAUGACACUAAAAUUUCUGCUGGUUGCUUUCUUUGAUCUGUCAUGUAUGCAGUGACCCACUAAAACUUCAGAUGGUAUGAUAGAUUCUAGUCAUCUCUGUGUGAAUUUAGCAUUCAUGGGAUUAAUGCUAAUAAGGCCCCCAGGGUCCAAGACAUGUAAUCAAGUAUAAUUUUGUCAAGGUAUAAUUUUUUUAAUUGCUCUUAUCACGUGACUGCUGGGGACGCCCAAUCCAGUGCUCUGCACCCGGUCACACUGCGGCUUUGUCGUCUGCGUAUCCCUGCAUUGAAGCACUGUCCUGAGGGGACCAAAAUCAUGCAGAUUUAGGUAAGUCCAUGGCUAAUGUUCCUAUAUUAUGUGUUCUUAUAAUGACUGGGGCUGUGGAGUGUAUGAAUUUAUAAAUCACUAGUCUUGUAAUUAAAACUCAAACACUAUAGAAAAAGGCCAUAUAGAAGAUAAAAGUUCCUCUAUAAUUCCCAAUCCCUGAGACAACUACUGAUGACAACUUCCUUUAUAUUCCUUCAGACAUUUUCUGGCUGUGGAUAUCCUAAAAUUUAUCCUAUUAUGCUCUGCCCUAAAAUGGAAUCAUAUAAUAUGUACUAUCGUUUUUAUGGCUUUAUAACAUGUAAUAUUGUGCAUGUUGGUGUGGUCGUUUUAACCAUUUUUCUAGUGAUGGGUUUGAGGUUACUUGCAGAGUUUUCUAGCCAUCACAGAGUGCUGCAGGGUGCAGAGCUGAGGCACCCAGAGGCAGUGCCCAGAGGAGGCAGCAUCUGUAGGUGUCUUCACCUGCUGUGGCUCUUGGCACACCUGGUCAGUGACACUGUUUUGUGAGAUGGAUUGAAAGCAUCUGCUGCUAAAAUCGGUAAUGCUGGUGCUCUCCUCAGGUGCCGUGGAAUUCACAUAAAACUGCUUAGUGUCCAUACCAGAAUCAAGUAUAAUAUGGUGCCCGGCUAAGCACAAAACAGUAAUGGAUCCUGCAGAUCCCAGAGUCUAAUUCCUGGUAUUCUUUCCCCUAAGCAGGUUCAAUAAACAACAACAACAACAAAAAAAACAACCAAACUAUUCUAGGAAUGCAGCUGUGACAUUUGUAAAAAAGCAGUGUUUAAUGAUCUCUUAUUCACUUGUCUGUUUAGUUUGUCGAAAUGUUACCUGGUCGAGGAAGGAAUGCUGUCUGUACCUGCCCUCUGCUGGGCACAGCGUGGCUGCUUCAGGGGCUAAGUUCAUGCUCUCUGUCCUCUAAGGGGCCGUCACAUGCCAGGAGCUCAGAUGUGAGCCCUGCCCUGGCUCUUACUCACCUCAUAGGGUCACUGGUAGGGGCACAGGGAGUUGAACAUUGUGCACAGCAAGCCACCACUGGCUCAGCAUCUGCCCCGCUGGACUUACUACUUCUAGAAGGCAAUACCUGAGUUCCUCUGGCCUCAGCUACUAGAGUGACUGGUACACUGUCCGUCUUACUCUUCCUUCCAUCAGUGUGACAACUGUGUGACCCACCAUCUGUGUGUCAAAGCAAGGCCCUGCCUCAUCCUCUGCUCCUGUGCUGACCCCAAAGGCAAAUGCUCUGCUGGUUUCCUUCCAUUUCACUUCACCUAUUAAUAGAUGUGUGAAACUGUUCAAAGCAAUACAUGCCUGCACAUGUUCAAACUUCAAACCCUGUGAGCGAUUCAGUGGCAUCUUUCUCUAACCCCCAGCCUCCCUUCCCACAGAGGCAGCUGUUGUGGCCAGUUGCUGCAGUUUCUUUCUGGAGAAUCUGUAUUUAUGAAGCUGUACAGGUAUACCACAUAGCCUGUCUUGCACUUCGGACUGUUGAGUUACUGGUACAUCAAGGUGAGCACUGUAUAUCUGUAUUCACGUCUGCCUCAGUCUUUUCAACAUCUGUGUGGUAGCUGUGUUUGAAUUACCCAUUCCCUUUUUGGGGAACCAUUAAGUUGUUUCAGCAAUUUUUACUGUAGAUAAGGCUAUACCGCAUAUCUGUGUACCUGUGUUUUUAUGUACAUGGGCAAGUAUAUCUGCGAGGGAAAAGUUUUCUCAGGAGGAAGUCUGGGCACAGCACGUGGAAAUUUCUGAAUAUGAUGGACACCCCCAGCUUCCACCGUAGGGAGCUUGGUCCCAUUGACAUUUCCCCACACCUUCACCUGGGCUAUGCUCUCAAACUUGGUUAUUUGUCAAUGUGAGAAGUGGAAAAUAGUAUUUAAUUGUAGUUUUGAUUUGUAUUUCUUUUGGGUUAUAUAUUUACUGAUACAUAUUAAGGAAAUUAACCCUUUGUAAAUACAUUCCUGUUUUUCACUGAUUUUUAAGUUUUAUUAUAAUAUUUUGCUCUUCAGUUUAUAUAUAUAUAUAUACACACACACACACUAAUUUUGUUUUAUGGUUCCUGGAUUUUAUGAGUAGUUCAAAGAGGCUAAUCCAGCUGAAGCUUUUUUUCUUUUGGUUAAACCCCAUGUUUUCUCCUCUCUUUUUAUUUUUACUUUGGAGGGCUCCAUCUGGACUUAAUUUUAGUGUAACGAAUGACAGGGUUAGUUAGCCUGUUGCCCUUACACCGUUUUUCUGGCUAACACAGCUGUUAACUAUUGAUCUGUUUAUUCACGUGCCAGUUCCUAAUGGUUUUACAUAGUGUCAUCUGUACUUUAAAAAAGCGAAACGAAAGCCCUACCUCAUUAUUCUACUUUUCCAGAAUUCUCCAGGCUGCAUGUUUACCUUAACCUCCCCCGUGACAUCUUCAUGCCAUUGUCUUCUUAGGAGAGAAUAAGAGUGGGUUUUGACUGCCCCCAUUUCUGAGGCCUUGUAGGCCAGAGCUUUGUUGCCUCAUCGGCAGGUUGGGACUUAGAUGGCCGUGACCGUUUCCUCUCUGCUGCUGCAGUAAGUAAGUGCCUGCACCGUGUGUUUGGGGGCUGAAGUGGAAGCGGGGCUGUGAGGGGAGAUGGACAUGUGAGGGGGACGGGGCAUGAGUGAAGUGGGGGAGGGGUUGAAGGCAGUUGGCCCAGCAGGUUCCCCGCCCUUUUUGAGAGGUCUGAGGCCUGCAGGCCUGGCUCAGAGCCCAGCUGGUAGUCCCCAGACUGUGUGUGUGUGUGUGUGUGUGUGUGUGUGUGUG